GGUGAGAUGGCCGAGCGGUCUAAGGCGCCAGCUUAAGGUAUUCCUGGCCUCCAGGAAGACUCACGCUGGUCCGAAAGGGCGUGGGUUCGAAUCCCACUCUCAUCA
This is a non-coding RNA of Neohortaea acidophila, 105 nucleotides long. The record is from the annotation of a RefSeq genome assembly. NCBI's taxonomy places the organism in Eukaryota, Fungi, Ascomycota, Dothideomycetes, Mycosphaerellales, Teratosphaeriaceae.